RNAcentral lists this ribosomal RNA (275 nucleotides) under uncultured Lachnospiraceae bacterium. Its description in RNAcentral is "partial 16S ribosomal RNA". It matches the Rfam family "Bacterial small subunit ribosomal RNA", at positions 382 to 674 of the family's 1533-position model. Lineage: Bacteria; Bacillati; Bacillota; Clostridia; Lachnospirales; Lachnospiraceae. The record is from RNAcentral.
CCUGAUGCAGCGACGCCGCGUGAGUGAAGAAGUAUCUCGGUAUGUAAAGCUCUAUCAGCAGGGAAGAAAAUGACGGUACCUGACUAAGAAGCCCCGGCUAACUACGUGCCAGCAGCCGCGGUAAUACGUAGGGGGCAAGCGUUAUCCGGAUUUACUGGGUGUAAAGGGAGCGUAGACGGCGACGCAAGUCUGGAGUGAAAGCCCGGGGCCCAACCCCGGGACUGCUUUGGAAACUGUGUUGCUGGAGUGCAGGAGAGGUAAGUGGAAUUCCUAGU